GCUGACGAGGACAGAUUUGAAUGCUUGCAACCUCGUUCAAAAAAAUGCUAAAAUAUGAACU
Non-coding RNA from Bacteroides sp. CAG:1060, 61 nucleotides. Lineage: Bacteria; Pseudomonadati; Bacteroidota; Bacteroidia; Bacteroidales; Bacteroidaceae. The record is from Rfam.